Molecule: ribosomal RNA, 207 nt
Filed under: uncultured bacterium
Lineage: Bacteria
Description: partial 16S ribosomal RNA
Rfam family: Bacterial small subunit ribosomal RNA
Source: RNAcentral
CUUGUAGGCGGUUAUGUAAGUUAGAUGUGAAAUCUUCGGGCUCAACCUGGAAACUGCAUCUAAAACUGCGUAACUAGAGAGCAGUAGAGGGGAGUGGAAUUUCCGGUGUAGCGGUGAAAUGCGUAGAUAUCGGAAGGAACACCAGUGGCGAAGGCGGCUCCCUGGGCUGUUUCUGACGCUGAGGAGCGAAAGCGUGGGUAGCGAACA